UGGGGUGUCGUCAAGCGGUAAGACACAGGUCUUUGGAACCUGGAUGCGGAGGUUCGAAU
This 59-nucleotide transfer RNA is filed under the name Deltaproteobacteria bacterium RBG_13_52_11b. RNAcentral's name for it is "tRNA-Gln". It matches the Rfam family "tRNA", at positions 1 to 58 of the family's 71-position model. From Rfam's summary of the family: Transfer RNA (tRNA) molecules are approximately 80 nucleotides in length. Their secondary structure includes four short double-helical elements and three loops (D, anti-codon, and T loops). Further hydrogen bonds mediate the characteristic L-shaped molecular structure. tRNAs have two regions of fundamental functional importance: the anti-codon, which is responsible for specific mRNA codon recognition, and the 3' end, to which the tRNAs corresponding amino acid is attached (by aminoacyl-tRNA synthetases). tRNAs cope with the degeneracy of the genetic code in two manners: having more than one tRNA (with a specific anti-codon) for a particular amino acid; and 'wobble' base-pairing, i.e. permitting non-standard base-pairing at the 3rd anti-codon position. Lineage: Bacteria; Deltaproteobacteria. The record is from RNAcentral.